GUAAGGUGGCCUGAAUUCAAAUCCUAGUUCUAGCUCAGUAAUAUUUCACAAGCUACAGUGCCUCAGUUUCCUUACCUGUAAAAAGAGCAUAUAGUCUAUAGGGUUAUUAUGACCAUCAAACUAGUUAAUACAUGUAAAGUCACCUUGCAGUGCAUUGCACUGACCUUGCCUUGUGAUCCUGGUGCCAGGUUUUUUGAGCCUGGCAGGAAUGGUGAGAGUGUCAAGUCUGAGAUGGUCUGGACUUGCAGCUGAAGUUCAGUUAAGGACCCAAAUCAAGUACUUUCAGCCACAUUCCAUUGCUUGCUAUCAUAAGAUAAGAAGAGACAGCUAUUUUAUUAUACUAUUUUUGAAAUACAGUGCUUAGAAAGGUACAGUGGCUGGCCCAAGAACCCCCCAAAAUUCAGUGGUCAGGAUACAUCGCUACAACACCCACUCCUUUUCCAGAAGGAAAACUGCCUUCUCAUCUAAAAGUGCCUUUGAACUCUGACUACAACAUCAUCUGCAUAAAGAUUGCAUCAUCAGUGCUCAUGGGCUUGAACCGAGUGGAAACUAUGCGAUUUCACAUGGGGAAAAUUCUGGGCAACAAGACAUUGAACCAGGGUUCUUAGCUGCAGCCCUAGUUAGAGAAUUGCUUCCACAUUCUGGGCCUGUUUUCUUGUGUUUACACAGGAGAACUGGUUGGGAGAAGUGGUUCUCACUAUUUGGUGUAAGGAUCGACUGCAUCCCAAUCAUCUGGAUCCAUGUUUAUAAAGGCAAAAUCCCUGGGCUUCCCCAAGAUCUGUUGACUCGGAAUAUGAAGGGGUAGGUCAUGGAAAUCAGCAGUUGAUACAAGAUUACUACGGGAUUAUUAAGCAUACUAAGGCUCAACAACCACAACAAGGGGACCAUAUGAUCUCAGAACUUCCAUCCAGAAAUAUUGUCAUACGAUUUUAUGAAUAUAUCAUUACUGUAAGGUCCACAAGAAACAAUAGCUAGGAACAGAACUAUACUUGUGACAUCUUGAUUUUUUAUUCCUCACCCAUGCAUCCCAGUUCUAUGUGGAAAGUGGAUGCAUUUUAAAAAGCUAGUCCAUUCUGUGGGAAACUGUAGUCACUGACACAUCCUGAAGUUCCCUCUAGGCUGUUCUGGAGCGUGGAGCC
RNAcentral lists this long non-coding RNA (1139 nucleotides) under Pan troglodytes (chimpanzee). RNAcentral describes it as "long non-coding RNA NONPTRT007535". Lineage: Eukaryota; Metazoa; Chordata; Mammalia; Primates; Hominidae. The record is from RNAcentral.